ACCACCAACCCUCGGCGGCUCCCUAAUACAUCCAACUCCACCCCACACAUCCCACCUUCCUCCCUCAUCUUACCCGGGCACCCCUCACUAACACCUCCCUAACCUCCCUCUAACACUCCCAUAACUCCCGGAAACGGCCCCUAAUACCGGAUGCUUGUUUGAACCGCAUGGUUCAGACAUAAAAGGUGGCUUCGGCUACCACUUACAGAUGGACCCGCGGCGCAUUAGCUAGUUGGUGAGGUAACGGCUCACCAAGGCGACGAUGCGUAGCCGACCUGAGAGGGUGAUCGGCCACACUGGGACUGAGACACGGCCCAGACUCCUACGGGAGGCAGCAGUAGGGAAUCUUCCGCAAUGGACGAAAGUCUGACGGAGCAACGCCGCGUGAGUGAUGAAGGUUUUCGGAUCGUAAAGCUCUGUUGUUAGGGAAGAACAAGUGCCGUUCAAAUAGGGCGGCACCUUGACGGUACCUAACCAGAAAGCCACGGCUAACUACGUGCCAGCAGCCGCGGUAAUACGUAGGUGGCAAGCGUUGUCCGGAAUUAUUGGGCGUAAAGGGCUCGCAGGCGGUUUCUUAAGUCUGAUGUGAAAGCCCCCGGCUCAACCGGGGAGGGUCAUUGGAAACUGGGGAACUUGAGUGCAGAAGAGGAGAGUGGAAUUCCACGUGUAGCGGUGAAAUGCGUAGAGAUGUGGAGGAACACCAGUGGCGAAGGCGACUCUCUGGUCUGUAACUGACGCUGAGGAGCGAAAGCGUGGGGAGCGAACAGGAUUAGAUACCCUGGUAGUCCACGCCGUAAACGAUGAGUGCUAAGUGUUAGGGGGUUUCCGCCCCUUAGUGCUGCAGCUAACGCAUUAAGCACUCCGCCUGGGGAGUACGGUCGCAAGACUGAAACUCAAAGGAAUUGACGGGGGCCCGCACAAGCGGUGGAGCAUGUGGUUUAAUUCGAAGCAACGCGAAGAACCUUACCAGGUCUUGACAUCCUCUGACAAUCCUAGAGAUAGGACGUCCCCUUCGGGGGCAGAGUGACAGGUGGUGCAUGGUUGUCGUCAGCUCGUGUCGUGAGAUGUUGGGUUAAGUCCCGCAACGAGCGCAACCCUUGAUCUUAGUUGCCAGCAUUCA
Molecule: ribosomal RNA, 1120 nt
Filed under: Bacillus amyloliquefaciens
Lineage: Bacteria; Bacillati; Bacillota; Bacilli; Caryophanales; Bacillaceae
Description: bacterial SSU rRNA
Rfam family: Bacterial small subunit ribosomal RNA
Source: RNAcentral